Molecule: ribosomal RNA, 395 nt
Filed under: uncultured bacterium
Lineage: Bacteria
Description: bacterial SSU rRNA
Rfam family: Bacterial small subunit ribosomal RNA
Source: RNAcentral
GUGCCAGCAGCCGCGGUAAUACGAAGGUCCCGAGCGUUGUUCGGAAUCACUGGGCGUAAAGGGAGCGUAGGCGGCGUGGUAAGUCAGAUGUGAAAUCCCGGGGCUCAACCCCGGAACUGCAUCCGAUACUGCCGUGCUAGAGUUUUGGAGAGGUAGCUGGAAUUCACGGUGUAGCAGUGAAAUGCGUAGAUAUCGUGAGGAACACUCGUGGCGAAAGCGAGCUACUGGACAACAACUGACGCUGAGGCUCGAAGGCUAGGGUAGCGAAAGGGAUUAGAUACCCCUGUAGUCCUAGCAGUAAACGGUGUGCGCUUGGUGUGGCGGGAAUCGACCCCUGCCGUGCCGGAGCUAACGCGUUAAGCGCACCGCCUGGGAAGUACGGUCGCAAGACUAAA